UACGGAGGGUGCAAACGUUGUUCGGAAUUACUGGGCGUAAAGCGCGUGUAGGCGGCUUGGCAAGUCGGGUGUGAAAUCCCGGGGCUCAACCCCGGAACUGCAUUCGAAACUGCCUGGCUGGAGUCCCGGAGAGGGUGGUGGAAUUCCCAGUGUAGAGGUGAAAUUCGUAGAGAUUGGGAGGAACACCAGUGGCGAAGGCGGCCACCUGGACGGUGACUGACGCUGAGACGCGAAAGAGUGGGGAGCAAACAGG
RNAcentral lists this ribosomal RNA (253 nucleotides) under uncultured bacterium. RNAcentral's name for it is "partial 16S ribosomal RNA". It matches the Rfam family "Bacterial small subunit ribosomal RNA", at positions 524 to 776 of the family's 1533-position model. The record is from RNAcentral.